Molecule: long non-coding RNA, 272 nt
Organism: Oncorhynchus tshawytscha (Chinook salmon)
Lineage: Eukaryota; Metazoa; Chordata; Actinopteri; Salmoniformes; Salmonidae
Source: Ensembl
UAGAGCCAGAUAGAGUAGAGCCAGAUAGAAUAGAGCCAGAUAGAAUAGUCAUAUGGAAAGAGACAGAUAGAGUAGAGACAGAUAGAGUAGAGACAGAUAGAAUAGUCAUAUGGAAAGAGACAGAUAGAAUAGUCAUAUGGAAAGAGACAGAUAGAGUAGAGACAAAGACAGAUAGAAUUCAGCCAGAUCGAAUAGAGCCAGAUAGAGUAGAGCCAGAUGGAGUAGAGCCAGAUAGAGUGGAUACAGAUGGAAUAGAGCCAGAUAGAGUAGAG